UUAUAAAAAAAAUUCAAAAUAUAUUUUUUUAUAUUUGGUGGUGGUGGUGAUGGAACGAAGGUGAAAGUAGAGAUUGUUACAUAGUGGUGGGAUGAUGGCGGCAGUGAUGAUGGUAGUGGCUAUGGUGAUGGUAGUGUGAUAGUGAAGGUGAGAAUAGUGGUGAUGGUGUUGUGAAAUUAGUAAAAAUUUAAUU
Molecule: non-coding RNA, 193 nt
Organism: Camellia sinensis
Lineage: Eukaryota; Viridiplantae; Streptophyta; Magnoliopsida; Ericales; Theaceae
Source: RefSeq, a predicted model, not a curated record